RNAcentral lists this ribosomal RNA (494 nucleotides) under uncultured Glomus. RNAcentral's name for it is "SSU rRNA". It matches the Rfam family "Eukaryotic small subunit ribosomal RNA", at positions 569 to 1070 of the family's 1831-position model. Lineage: Eukaryota; Fungi; Glomeromycota; Glomeromycetes; Glomerales; Glomeraceae. The record is from RNAcentral.
AGCAGCCGCGGUAAUUCCAGCUCCAAUAGCGUAUAUUAAAGUUGCUGCAGUUAAAAAGCUCGUAGUUGAAUUUCGGGACUAAUAUGUCGGUCGUGCCUCGGUACGUACUGGUUUAUUGGUUUCUCCUUUCUGAAGAACCAUGAUGUCAUUUAUUUGGUGUCGUGGGGAAUCAGGACUGUUACUUUGAAAAAUUAGAGUGUUUAAAGCAGGCUCACGCUUGAAUACAUUAGCAUGGAAUAAUGAAAUAGGACGUUUGAUUCUAUUUUGUUGGUUUCUAGGAUCGACGUAAUGAUUAAUAGGGAUAGUUGGGGGCAUUAGUAUUCAAUUGUCAGAGGUGAAAUUCUUGGAUUUAUUGAAGACUAACUACUGCGAAAGCAUUUGCCAAGGAUGUUUUCAUUAAUCAAGAACGAAAGUUAGGGGAUCGAAGACGAUCAGAUACCGUCGUAGUCUUAACCAUAAACUAUGCCGACUAGGGAUCGGAUGAUGUUAAUUUU